GUGGAUGAUCUACCUUCUAGUGGGGAAUAACCCUGGGAAACCGGGGCUAAUACCGCAUAAGCUCGAGAGAGGAAAGCAGCAAUGCGCUGGAAGAGGAGUCCGCGGCCGAUUAGCUAGUUGGCAGGGUAAAAGCCUACCAAGGCAAAGAUCGGUAGCCGGCCUGAGAGGGCACACGGCCACACUGGCACUGAAACACGGGCCAGACUCCUACGGGAGGCAGCAGUGGGGAAUCUUGCACAAUGGGGGAAACCCUGAUGCAGCGACGCCGCGUGAGCGAUGAAGCCCUUCGGGGUGUAAAGCUCUUUCGGCAGGGAAGAUAAUGACGGUACCUGCAGAAGCAGCUGCGGCUAACUACGUGCCAGCAGCCGCGGUAAUACGUAGGCAGCGAGCGUUGUUCGGAGUUACUGGGCGUAAAGGGUGCGUAGGCGGUUGUUUAAGUUUGGUGUGAAAUCUCCCGGCUCAACCGGGAGGGUGCGCCGAAUACUGAAUGACUAGAGUGCGGGAGAGGAUAGUGGAAUU
This 519-nucleotide ribosomal RNA is filed under the name uncultured Acidobacteriaceae bacterium. RNAcentral describes it as "bacterial SSU rRNA". It matches the Rfam family "Bacterial small subunit ribosomal RNA", at positions 117 to 668 of the family's 1533-position model. Lineage: Bacteria; Pseudomonadati; Acidobacteriota; Terriglobia; Terriglobales; Acidobacteriaceae. The record is from RNAcentral.